UGGGGAAUAUUGCGCAAUGGGCGAAAGCCUGACGCAGCAACGCCGCGUGAGUGAUGAAGGCCUUCGGGUCGUAAAGCUCUGUCGGAGGGAACGAAUGCUCCUGAAGUUAACAGCCUCAGGAGGUGACGGUACCCUCAAAGGAAGCACCGGCUAACUCUGUGCCAGCAGCCGCGGUAAUACAGAGGGUGCAAGCGUUGUUCGGAAUCAUUGGGCGUAAAGCGUGCGUAGGCGGCCUGCCAAGUCAGAUGUGAAAGCCCUGGGCUCAACCUGGGAACGGCAUUUGAAACUGGCAGGCUCGAGUUGGGUAGAGGCAGGCGGAAUUCCGGGUGUAGCGGUGAAAUGCGUAGAUAUCCGGAGGAACACCAGUGGCGAAGGCGGCCUGCUGGGCCCAAACUGACGCUGAGGCACGAAAGCGUGGGUAGCAAACAGGAUUAGAUACCCCUGUAGUCCCUGAGCGGGCUGGCAAGGCGCAU
RNAcentral lists this ribosomal RNA (473 nucleotides) under uncultured bacterium. Its description in RNAcentral is "bacterial SSU rRNA". It matches the Rfam family "Bacterial small subunit ribosomal RNA", at positions 355 to 825 of the family's 1533-position model. The record is from RNAcentral.